RNAcentral lists this ribosomal RNA (253 nucleotides) under uncultured bacterium. RNAcentral describes it as "partial 16S ribosomal RNA". It matches the Rfam family "Bacterial small subunit ribosomal RNA", at positions 524 to 776 of the family's 1533-position model. The record is from RNAcentral.
GACGUACCGUACGAACGUUAUUCGGAAUUACUGGGCUUAAAGGGUGUGUAGGCGGCGCAGUAAGUUGGGUGUGAAAUCCCUCGGCUUAACCGAGGAAUUGCGCCCAAAACUACUGUGCUCGAGGGAGGUAGAGGUGAGCGGAACUUAGGGUGGAGCGGUGAAAUGCGUUGAUAUCCUAAGGAACACCGGUGGCGAAAGCGGCUCACUGGACCGCUUCUGACGCUGAGGCACGAAAGCUAGGGUAGCAAACGGG